This 757-nucleotide ribosomal RNA is filed under the name uncultured bacterium. RNAcentral's name for it is "bacterial SSU rRNA". It matches the Rfam family "Bacterial small subunit ribosomal RNA", at positions 65 to 796 of the family's 1533-position model. The record is from RNAcentral.
AACGAGAAGUACGUAGCAAUACGUAUUGUAAAGUGGCGCACGGGUGAGUAACACGUGGGUAAUCUGCCCUUGAGUUUGGGAUAACCCCGCGAAAGCGGGGCUAAUACCGAAUAAGACCACGGGGACCAAAGUCCCUGAGGUAAAAGAUGGCCUCUAUUUAUAAGCUAUCUCUUGAGGAUGAGCCCGCGGCCCAUUAGCUAGUUGGUAGGGUAAUGGCCUACCAAGGCUAUGAUGGGUAGCUGGUCUGAGAGGACGAUCAGCCACACUGGAACUGAGACACGGUCCAGACUCCUACGGGAGGCAGCAGUGGGGAAUAUUGCGCAAUGGGCGAAAGCCUGACGCAGCAACGCCGCGUGGGGGAUGAAGGUUUUCGGAUUGUAAACCCCUUUCGAUCGGAACGAAUCUCCUCUUGGUAAAUAAUCAGGAGGAUCGACGGUACCGGGAGAAGAAGCCACGGCUAACUCUGUGCCAGCAGCCGCGGUAAGACAGAGGUGGCGAGCGUUGUUCGGAUUUAUUGGGCGUAAAGCGAACGCAGGUGGUUUGGUAAGUCAGGGGUGAAAGUCCACAGCUUAACUGUGGCACUGCCUUUGAUACUGCCUUUCUUGAGUGCAUGAGGGGGAAGCGGAAUUCCGAGUGUAGAGGUGAAAUUCGUAGAUAUUCGGAGGAACACCGGUGGCGAAGGCGGCUUCCUGGCAUGUAACUGACACUCAUGUUCGAAAGCGUGGGUAGCAAACAGGAUUAGAUACCCUGGUAGUCC